GCUUAAAUAGUUUAAUUAAAAUAUUAAUUUGUGGAGUUAAUGAUACAUUUGUGUUUUGAGCC
Molecule: transfer RNA, 62 nt
Filed under: Thoradonta nodulosa
Lineage: Eukaryota; Metazoa; Arthropoda; Insecta; Orthoptera; Tetrigidae
Also listed under: 1 other name
Description: tRNA-His
Source: RNAcentral